UGGGGGAUAUUGCACAAUGGGCGAAAGCCUGAUGCAGCGACGCCGCGUGGGGGAUGAAGGCCUUCGGGUUGUAAACUUCUUUUGCUCUGAACAAGGCAUGCUAAUGGGUGUGUUGGGUGUAGGGGUUGAUUAGCGCCGGCUAACUACGUGCCAGCAGCCGCGGUAAUACGUAGGGCGCGAGCGUUGUCCGGAAUUAUUGGGCGUAAAGGGCUUGUAGGUGGCUGGUUGCGUCUGUCGUGAAAGCUCAUGGCUUAACUGUGGGUUUGCGGUGGGUACGGGCUGGCUUGAGUGCAGUAGGGGAGGCUGGAAUUCCUGGUGUAGCGGUGGAAUGCGCAGAUAUCAGGAGGAAUACCGGUGGCGAAGGCGGGUCUCUGGGCUGUUACUGACACUGAGGAGCGAAAGCAUGGGGAGCGAACAGG
RNAcentral lists this ribosomal RNA (419 nucleotides) under bacterium. RNAcentral describes it as "partial 16S ribosomal RNA". It matches the Rfam family "Bacterial small subunit ribosomal RNA", at positions 355 to 776 of the family's 1533-position model. The record is from RNAcentral.